UGGGGAAUAUUGCACAAUGGGCGCAAGCCUGAUGCAGCCAUGCCGCGUGUGUGAAGAAGGCCUUCGGGUUGUAAAGUACUUUCAGUCGGGAGGAAGGUGGUAAGGUUAAUAACCUUAUCAAUUGACGUUACCGACAGAAGAAGCACCGGCUAACUCCGUGCCAGCAGCCGCGGUAAUACGGAGGGUGCAAGCGUUAAUCGGAAUUACUGGGCGUAAAGCGCACGCAGGCGGUUGAUUGAGUCAGAUGUGAAAUCCCCGGGCUUAACCCGGGAAUUGCAUCUGAUACUGGUCAGCUAGAGUCUUGUAGAGGGGGGUAGAAUUCCAGGUGUAGCGGUGAAAUGCGUAGAGAUCUGGAGGAAUACCGGUGGCGAAGGCGGCCCCCUGGACGAAGACUGACGCUCAGGUGCGAAAGCGUGGGGAGCAAACAGG
This 429-nucleotide ribosomal RNA is filed under the name Chloroflexota bacterium. Its description in RNAcentral is "Chloroflexi bacterium partial 16S ribosomal RNA". It matches the Rfam family "Bacterial small subunit ribosomal RNA", at positions 355 to 776 of the family's 1533-position model. Lineage: Bacteria; Bacillati; Chloroflexota. The record is from RNAcentral.